GAUGAACGCUGGCGGCGUGCCUAAUACAUGCAAGUCGAGCGAACAGACGCGGAGCUUGCUCCUCUGACGUUAGCGGCGGACGGGUGAGUAACACGUGGAUAACCUACCUAUCAGACUGGGAUAAUUUCGGGAAAGCGGCGCUAAUCCCGGAUAAUAUCUUGAACCGCAUGGUUCAAUAGUAAAAGACGGUUUUGCUGUCACUUAUAGCUGGAUCCGCGCCGCAUUAGCUAGUUGGUAAGGUCACGGCGUACCAAGGCAACGAUGCGUAGCCGACCUGAGAGGGUGAGCGGCCACACUGGAACUGAGACACGGUCCAGACUCCUACGGGAGGCAGCAGUAGGGAAUCUUCCGCAAUGGGCGGAAGCCUGACGGAGCAACGCCGCGUGAGGGAUGAAGGUCUUCGGAUCGUAAAACUCUGUUAUUAGGGAAGAACAAGUGUGUAAGUAACUAUGCACGUCUUUACGGUACCUAAGCAGAAAGCCACGGCUAACUACGGG
This 497-nucleotide ribosomal RNA is filed under the name uncultured bacterium. RNAcentral's name for it is "partial 16S ribosomal RNA". It matches the Rfam family "Bacterial small subunit ribosomal RNA", at positions 28 to 507 of the family's 1533-position model. The record is from RNAcentral.